RNAcentral lists this ribosomal RNA (763 nucleotides) under Acinetobacter baumannii OIFC083. Its description in RNAcentral is "bacterial SSU rRNA". It matches the Rfam family "Bacterial small subunit ribosomal RNA", at positions 28 to 786 of the family's 1533-position model. The record is from RNAcentral. Lineage: Bacteria; Pseudomonadati; Pseudomonadota; Gammaproteobacteria; Moraxellales; Moraxellaceae.
AUUGAACGCUGGCGGCAGGCUUAACACAUGCAAGUCGAGCGGGGGAAGGUAGCUUGCUACCGGACCUAGCGGCGGACGGGUGAGUAAUGCUUAGGAAUCUGCCUAUUAGUGGGGGACAACAUCUCGAAAGGGAUGCUAAUACCGCAUACGUCCUACGGGAGAAAGCAGGGGAUCUUCGGACCUUGCGCUAAUAGAUGAGCCUAAGUCGGAUUAGCUAGUUGGUGGGGUAAAGGCCUACCAAGGCGACGAUCUGUAGCGGGUCUGAGAGGAUGAUCCGCCACACUGGGACUGAGACACGGCCCAGACUCCUACGGGAGGCAGCAGUGGGGAAUAUUGGACAAUGGGGGGAACCCUGAUCCAGCCAUGCCGCGUGCGUGAAGAAGGCCUUAUGGUUGUAAAGCACUUUAAGCGAGGAGGAGGCUACUUUAGUUAAUACCUAGAGAUAGUGGACGUUACUCGCAGAAUAAGCACCGGCUAACUCUGUGCCAGCAGCCGCGGUAAUACAGAGGGUGCGAGCGUUAAUCGGAUUUACUGGGCGUAAAGCGUGCGUAGGCGGCUUAUUAAGUCGGAUGUGAAAUCCCCGAGCUUAACUUGGGAAUUGCAUUCGAUACUGGUGAGCUAGAGUAUGGGAGAGGAUGGUAGAAUUCCAGGUGUAGCGGUGAAAUGCGUAGAGAUCUGGAGGAAUACCGAUGGCGAAAGCAGCCAUCUGGCCUAAUACUGACGCUGAGUACGAAAGCAUGGGGAGCAAACAGGAUUAGAUACC